Marasmius sp. AFHP31 is the source of this 99-nucleotide non-coding RNA. Lineage: Eukaryota; Fungi; Basidiomycota; Agaricomycetes; Agaricales; Marasmiaceae. The record is from the annotation of a GenBank genome assembly.
GGCCGACUAGCUCAGUUGGUUAGAGCGUCGUGCUAAUAUACAUCUUGGAUCGCUAUACUAUUAACGCGAAGGUCUUGGGUUCGAUCCCCACGUUGGCCA